RNAcentral lists this ribosomal RNA (199 nucleotides) under uncultured bacterium. RNAcentral describes it as "partial 16S ribosomal RNA". It matches the Rfam family "Bacterial small subunit ribosomal RNA", at positions 1294 to 1500 of the family's 1533-position model. The record is from RNAcentral.
CGGAUCGGAGUCUGCAACCCGACUCCGUGAAGCUGGAUUCGCCAGUAAUCGCGCAUCAGCCAUGGCGCGGUGAAUACGUUCCCGGGCCUUGUACACACCGCCCGUCAAGCCAUGGAAGCCGGGGGCGCUUGAAGUGCGUUGCCGCAAGGCGUGCCCUAGAGCGAAACCGGUGACUGGGGCUAAGUCGUAACAAGGUACC